This is a long non-coding RNA of Lagopus leucura (white-tailed ptarmigan), 1747 nucleotides long. RefSeq lists it as uncharacterized. The record is from RefSeq and is a predicted model, not a curated record. The transcript has 5 exons. NCBI's taxonomy places the organism in Eukaryota, Metazoa, Chordata, Aves, Galliformes, Phasianidae.
CCCUGCCUACCUGAGGUUUUCUGAAGCUGCUUCAGAGUAUGUUAAGAAGAAAAGGCUCUGGAUCUCCCUUGCCCCCCAAGGCCCAUCAGAUUGGUGCUGCAAGAACACAGCAGAUGUCAGGCAGACCACAGCCACGAGACACCUGGGAGUGAAUGAGCUGAAAGCAAUGCUUCAGCAGCAGAGAAGAGCUUCUGUCAGCGUUCUGUGCCAGAAGUAAAAGCGGAGCUCCCCCGGCCUCUGUACUGAUGAGAAAAUGGACUGUGGUUUUUAUGGCUUCUGUGUUAAUUGUGUUCCCUUUGACGUGAGGAGAUGCACACAGUGCAGCAUGCAUGGAUUUGAUGCUGCCUAUGGAAGCUGUGCUGCUGCUCAUGGGACUGAUACAGGGAACACAGGAAAACAGCAACGGGGAACAACAGGAAAGCAGCGUGAACGUCACGUCCCAAGGAGAAGUUGUGUGCCACGUGUUUUCCGAAGAUAAAACAGCAAAAAGAAGACCUCAGAUCUGAGCGGCUACAGAAGACUGCCUGCCUCCUUCCACAACCACUUGAGCUGGAAGAGUUCUGCACCAAUGACACAACUUAAAUGCAAGUAUUUGUCUAAUUCUGAAUUGAAGGGGCACGGGAGCCUGCAGCCUCCUCUUGUGAUUUUGGUGAGUAAGGCUGGCACUGGGAGCGAUUGCUUGAGAACGCAGAACCCCCAGAGCACAGUACUGGUGCUGUGGGUGCACCCUGUCAGAACACCUUUAGCUGGAGGAGAGCAUCCACUAGUUGUGCUCCAUCCUGAGGAGAGCAGUAACCGUGCUUUGCAUCACUGCAUGACAUUGCAUGCGCAAAGCGUGGUCAGCUGGGAGGUGAGCUCCAAAAAUAUGCUCAGAAAAUGAGACAUGGCACUGAUAGAGACACAUUCCCUCCUUAACAGUAGCUCCAGUCAGUGCAGGUGCCUGAGGAACUGAACUUCAGGUGGACUGAAGUUGCGUAGGACCUGUUGAGGGAGCACAGCAAGACCUCGGCACAGCCUUCUGUCAUGAGAAGGGCUGCGGCUCUGAAGGAGAAGUUCCCUCUCUGCUGCCUGUCCCAGUCACACUAUAGAGCGCCCAGGGACAACAGAGCAGCCACGUUGCUAGCUGCUCCAGAGAUCUCCUGGGCACGUGGAUGUGGCUGCACCAUUCAGUCAGGGAAACCUUUGGGGAAGUUCUCAGCCUGCACUUCCCACGGUGACCCGAGGUUGUUCUGUUCCUGAGUACGAAUGAGCGACGCGUUAUGGUCAUCCUGUACUCACACACCCACGCUCGCAGAGACCCAGAAAGGCUUCAGCCUGAGCGUGGCUCCUUCAGGCAGCCCAGAGGACAGCAGCACAAGGGGCCCGCAGCUCCCAGCAGCCGAACGCCUCCGUAACAGCUGUGGCAGCUGCCGCUCCGAUCCCCGUGGGAGGCAGAACCGAGGUCUGUGCGCUCCCGUGGCUGGAGCCUCCUGCCAGUAUUUCCUACCGGGAACGCGCUGUUGCACAACGGCAUCCAUGAGCAGGAAGGGCUCUUCUCGUUUCACGGGGAGCUGCCAACGCGCUGACGGACACCGCCUGCACCGUCCCCACCAGCCGCAGCGUUUCUCUCUCCCUGUCUGUUCCGGCCCCGCUCCCCUUUCCCCGCAGCCCCUCGGCGGGCCGUACGACAGCCCCCGUUCGGCCUAUUUCCGAGCCCGUGCCCUCGCUUCCACACGGUGACAUUUCGGGCCCCGGCACGCCCGACCCU